RNAcentral lists this small RNA (320 nucleotides) under Pelobates cultripes (western spadefoot toad). The record is from RNAcentral. Lineage: Eukaryota; Metazoa; Chordata; Amphibia; Anura; Pelobatidae.
GUGACCAGUGACAGAGUGAGGGGGGGUGACUAGUGAGGGAGGGGGUGACUAGUGACAGAAUGAGGGAGGGGGUGACUAGUGACAGAGGGAGGGAGAUGGUGACUGUCACUAGUCACCCCAUCCCUCCCUCUGUCACUAGUCACUCCCUCCCUAACUCUGUCACUAGUCAUCCCCUCCCUCACUCUGUCACCAGUCACCCCAUCCCUCCCUCUGUCACUGUGUCACCCCAUCCCGCCCUCUGUCACUAGUCACUCCCUCCCUAACUAGUCACCCCCUCCCUCUGUCACUAGUCACACUCUCCCUCACUCUGUCACUAGAGU